UUUCCCUACGGGAGGCAGCAGUGGGGGAUAUUGCACAAUGGGGGAAACCCUGAUGCAGCGACGCCGCGUGGGCGAAGAAGUAUUUCGGUAUGUAAAGCCCUAUCAGCAGGGAAGAAGAAAUGACGGUACCUGAGUAGGAAGCACCGGCUAAAUACGUGCCAGCAGCCGCGGUAAUACGUAUGGUGCAAGCGUUAUCCGGAUUUACUGGGUGUAAAGGGAGCGCAGGCGGCACGGCAAGCCAGAUGUGAAAUCCCAAGGCUCAACCUUGGAACUGCAUUUGAAACUGUUGGUCUUGAGUAUCGGAG
This 305-nucleotide ribosomal RNA is filed under the name uncultured bacterium. RNAcentral's name for it is "bacterial SSU rRNA". It matches the Rfam family "Bacterial small subunit ribosomal RNA", at positions 334 to 654 of the family's 1533-position model. The record is from RNAcentral.